RNAcentral lists this unclassified non-coding RNA (375 nucleotides) under soil metagenome. RNAcentral describes it as "partial contains 5.8S ribosomal RNA, internal transcribed spacer 2, and large subunit ribosomal RNA". The stretch from base 2 to 119 matches the Rfam family "5.8S ribosomal RNA", at positions 37 to 154 of the family's 154-position model. The record is from RNAcentral.
GUGAAGAACGCAGCGAAUUGCGAUAAGUAAUGUGAAUUGCAGAAUUCAGUGAAUCAUCGAAUCUUUGAACGCAUCUUGCGCUCCUUGGUAUUCUGAGGAGCAUGCCUGUUUGAGUGUCAUUAAAUUCUCAACUACACUGACUUUGAAUUGGUGUGGCUUGGAUUUGGGGGGAAAAUUGUUGUGGGCUUUUUGUAUAGUCUGCUCCCCUGAAAUUGAUUAGCGGUACCUUUGUGGAACUGUCUACAGGUGUGAUAAUUAUCUACAUCUUAGACAUCUGCUGGAAUGCUGCUUUCUAAACCUUACUUGUAUUGACAAUCUUGACCUCAAAUCAGGUAGGACUACCCGCUGAACUUAAGCAUAUCAAUAAGCGGAGGA